UUUAUGGAGAGUUUGAUCCUGGCUCAGGAUGAACGCUGGCGGCGUGCCUAAUACAUGCAAGUCGAGCGAACAGAUAAGGAGCUUGCUCCUUUGACGUUAGCGGCGGACGGGUGAGUAACACGUGGGUAACCUACCUAUAAGACUGG
Molecule: ribosomal RNA, 146 nt
Filed under: Staphylococcus pseudintermedius
Lineage: Bacteria; Bacillati; Bacillota; Bacilli; Caryophanales; Staphylococcaceae
Description: partial 16S ribosomal RNA
Rfam family: Bacterial small subunit ribosomal RNA
Source: RNAcentral